UAAUACGGAGGGUGCAAGCGUUAAUCGGAAUUACUGGGCGUAAAGCGCACGCAGGCGGUUUGUUAAGUCAGAUGUGAAAUCCCCGGGCUCAACCUGGGAACUGCAUUUGAAACUGGCAAGCUAGAGUCUCGUAGAGGGGGGUAGAAUUCCAGGUGUAGCGGUGAAAUGCGUAGAGAUCUGGAGGAAUACCGGUGGCGAAGGCGGCCCCCCGGACGAAGACUGACGCUCAGGUGCGAAAGCGUGGGGAGCAAACAGGAUUAGAUACCCUGGUAGUCCACGCUGUAAACGAUGUCGAUUUGGAGGUUGUGCCCUUGAGGCGUGGCUUCCGGAGCUAACGCGUUAAAUCGACCGCCUGGGGAGUACGGCCGCAAGGUUA
Molecule: ribosomal RNA, 376 nt
Filed under: uncultured Serratia sp.
Lineage: Bacteria; Pseudomonadati; Pseudomonadota; Gammaproteobacteria; Enterobacterales; Yersiniaceae
Description: bacterial SSU rRNA
Rfam family: Bacterial small subunit ribosomal RNA
Source: RNAcentral